Molecule: ribosomal RNA, 343 nt
Filed under: uncultured bacterium
Lineage: Bacteria
Description: bacterial SSU rRNA
Rfam family: Bacterial small subunit ribosomal RNA
Source: RNAcentral
GAUGAACGCUAGCGGCAGGCCUAAUACAUGCAAGACGAACGGUAAGUUGAGUAGCAAUACUUAGCCAAGAGUGUCGUACGGGUGCGUAACACGUAUGCAACCUACCCUAUACAGGAGGAUAGCCUAGGGAAACCUGGAUUAACCCUUCAUAGUAUUAUUGGAUGGCAUCAUUUGAUAAUUAAAACUGAGGUGGUAUAGGAUGGGCAUGCGUCUGAUUAGUUAGUUGGCGGGGUAAUGGCCCACCAAGACGAUGAUCAGUAGGGGUUCUGAGAGGAAGAUCCCCACACUGGCACUGAGAUACGGGCCAGACUCCUACGGGAGGCAGCAGUAGGGAAUAUUGGUC